CCUACGGGGGGCAGCAGUAGGGAAUAUUGCACAAUGGAGGAAACUCUGAUGCAGCGACGCCGCGUGAGUGAUGAAGGCCUUCGGGUCGUAAAGCUCUGUCGCAGGGGAAUAACACAAUGAAUGUACCCUGUAAGAAAGGAUCGGCUAACUUCGUGCCAGCAGCCGCGGUAAGACGAGGGAUCCUAGCGUUGUUCGGAAUCAUUGGGCGUAAAGCGGGUGUAGGUGGCUUUGUAAGUCAGGUGUGAAAGCCUAGGGCUCAACCCUAGAAGUGCAUUUGAUACUGCGAAGCUUGAGUGUGGGAGAGGAUAGUAGAAUUGUUGGUGUAGUGGUGAAAUACGUAGAUAUCAACAGGAAUACCGGAGGCGAAGGCGGCUAUCUGGCCCAACACUGACACUGAGAUCCGAAAGCGUGGGGAUCAAACAGGAUUAGAUACCCGGGUAGUC
RNAcentral lists this ribosomal RNA (443 nucleotides) under uncultured Bdellovibrio sp. Its description in RNAcentral is "bacterial SSU rRNA". It matches the Rfam family "Bacterial small subunit ribosomal RNA", at positions 338 to 795 of the family's 1533-position model. Lineage: Bacteria; Pseudomonadati; Bdellovibrionota; Bdellovibrionia; Bdellovibrionales; Pseudobdellovibrionaceae. The record is from RNAcentral.